GUGAUCAAUGGCAAUCAAAUUGCAAAGGAGGAUCCGGUGUUGUUGGUUCCUGAGCAAAAAAGUCAAAAACCAUCUGUUGCAAUUAUUAAGGACAUUUUUCGAACAAAAGAUGGAAGCAUGCUGUUUGUUUCUGGGGAUAUUUUGUUUCGAUACUAAUCCUUGGGAAGAUUGUCUCCGCUUCAACGAGGUAUUUCUCUUUCUUUCUCGUUUUUGUUUUCUUUAAAACCCUAAAAAUAUCUAAUACACAAAAAUACA
This is a long non-coding RNA of Capsella rubella, 255 nucleotides long. RefSeq lists it as uncharacterized. Lineage: Eukaryota; Viridiplantae; Streptophyta; Magnoliopsida; Brassicales; Brassicaceae. The transcript is spliced from 4 exons. The record is from RefSeq and is a predicted model, not a curated record.